This 136-nucleotide microRNA precursor is filed under the name Theobroma cacao (cacao). Lineage: Eukaryota; Viridiplantae; Streptophyta; Magnoliopsida; Malvales; Malvaceae. The record is from RNAcentral.
ACAACGGAGUGCAGCCAAGGAUGACUUGCCGCCAAUGGCUAGCUGGAGACGAGUUGCUUAUACGACCCUUUUCGUAUGAGCAAGUCGUAGACCUAAGAAUAGGCGGUAAGUUGUCCUUGGCUACAUCAGGCUCUCC